GUUUCAGGCAUCUUCCAAAAUGGCCAGGGUUGUUAGUGAGUACUUCCCUUCCGAACAGGCUACAGACUUUAUUGAGACCACAAUGGAUAGUAUGCUGUCUGCUAACCCCACCUGUGCCACGGCAGCUGGGCUAUGGAUGAAGAUCAUCCUAAAGGAGUGUGGAGAUGCCAUGCUGGACCAGGUGCCAGCUAUCCUGGCUAUAAUACAUAGCCA
Gopherus flavomarginatus (Mexican gopher tortoise) is the source of this 213-nucleotide long non-coding RNA. RefSeq lists it as uncharacterized. NCBI's taxonomy places the organism in Eukaryota, Metazoa, Chordata, Testudines, Testudinidae. The transcript has 3 exons. The record is from RefSeq and is a predicted model, not a curated record.